GAUGAACGCUGGCGGCGUGCCUAAUACAUGCAAGUCGAGCGAACAGACGAGGAGCUUGCUCCUCUGACGUUAGCGGAGGACGGGUGAGUAACACGUGGAUAACCUACCUAUAAGACUGGGAUAACUUCGGGAAACCGGAGCUAAUACCGGAUAAUAUAUUGAACCGCAUGGUUCAAUAGUGAAAGACUGUUUUGCUGUCACUUAUAGAUGGAUCCGCGCCGCAUUAGCUAGUUGGUAAGGUAACGGCUUACCAAGGCAACGAUGCGUAGCCGACCUGAGAGGGGGAUAGGCCACCCGGGAGCUGAGACACGGUCCAGACUCCUACGGGAGGCAGCAGUAGCGAACCUGCCGCAAUGGGCGAAAGCCUGACGGAGCAACGCCGCGUGAGUGAUGAAGGUCUUCGGAUCGUAAAACUCUGUUAUUAGGGAAGAACAAAUGUGUAAGUAACUAUGCACGUCUUGACGGUACCUAAUCAGAAAGCCACGGCUAACUACGUG
This 497-nucleotide ribosomal RNA is filed under the name uncultured bacterium. Its description in RNAcentral is "partial 16S ribosomal RNA". It matches the Rfam family "Bacterial small subunit ribosomal RNA", at positions 28 to 507 of the family's 1533-position model. The record is from RNAcentral.